Molecule: ribosomal RNA, 770 nt
Filed under: uncultured Neocallimastigales
Lineage: Eukaryota; Fungi; Neocallimastigomycota; Neocallimastigomycetes; Neocallimastigales
Description: partial large subunit ribosomal RNA
Rfam family: Eukaryotic large subunit ribosomal RNA
Source: RNAcentral
CAGACGAUGCGUCAUGCAUAUCAAUAAGCGGAGGAAAAGAAACUAACAAGGAUUCCCUCAGUAACGGCGAGUGAAGCGGGAAGAGCUCAAAUUUGAAAUCUUGAAAGGUCACCUUUCACGAAUUGUAGUUUAAAGAAGUGUUUUCUGUUACGAUCGUAAUAUAAGUUCUUUGGAAUAGGACAUCACAGAGGGUGAGAAUCCCGUCUAUGAUUGCGAUUUGUAGCUUUGUGAUACACUUUCAAAGAGUCGGGUUGUUUGGGAAUGCAGCCCAAAACGGGAGGUAAAUUUCUUCUAAGGCUAAAUAUUGGCGAGAGACCGAUAGCGAACAAGUACCGUGAGGGAAAGAUGAAAAGAACUUUGAAAGGAGAGUUAAAUAGUACGUGAAAUUGUCAAAAGGGAAGCGUUUAACACCAGUGUUGUUUUCUGAAAAUCAACCUCUGUUAGCUUUAUGCAUGUUUGUUUAGACCUAAUCAGCUAUCUUGCAUGUUCUAUUGUUUGCAGUGGUGCACUUUUCAGUUUACAGGUCAACAUCAGUUUUUUUUACCGUAAAAAAGUUAAAGAAAGGUAGCUCAUGGCUCCGGUCGUGAGUGUUAUAGUCUUUUUCCUAUGCGGUAGGAGAGACUGAGGUCUGCAGUGUAGGCUAUUUGGCUAGAUACUCAGGUGCUAUGUGAUACCAUUUCAUAAACAACUUGUUGAUUAUGUUUUGUCUAUUGCAUACUCGCUUGUACUAUCAUACCUACGCUUAGGAUGUUGAAGACUCUACAGAGAUA